GCGCAUAACCUUGCGGUCGUGUUUUGGCCGUCGAGGGGUGUUGCGUUUCGGUGGAUCCGUACCGCUCGAAUUGCUGACCGCCUAAGUCAUUGCUUGAAUGCAGCCCCGAGGAGGGUGGUAGGCCCGUGUGGCGGCGCCUGUAAAAAGGUUUGGAAGCAAUUUGGGCGGAGGGAUGUUUACCGUAGAGUCGGGUUGCUUAGUACUGCAGCCCUAAGUAGGUGGUAAACUCCAUCUAAGGCUAAAUACAACCACGAGUCCUAUAUUUGACAAGUACCGUGAGGGAAAGCUGAAAAGGACUCUGAAGAGAGAGUUCAAGAGGACGUGAAACCAUUAGAAGCUGAAACGGGUGGAACCGUGAAGGUGGAAAGAGGGGAUUCAGGCUGUUGACAGGGGCGAUGGGCCGCGGGUAAUGUUUUGAGAUACGGACCCGGCGUACGAGUGAGUUGUCCGGGCACCCGUGGCCUUUUUGUACCUUGUGAGCGGGCUUAGUUCUCCCUCGAGUACGAGACGUGGCGACCCGCUGGUCGGACCCCGAGGNCCCUGAAGGACUGGUAGCCUAGACCUUUGGUUUGGGUGAUGACCUUUUUGGGUACUGAGCGGGUUUGAGCGGCGGUC
RNAcentral lists this ribosomal RNA (615 nucleotides) under Macrobrachium nr. equidens MB-2009. RNAcentral describes it as "eukaryotic LSU rRNA". It matches the Rfam family "Eukaryotic large subunit ribosomal RNA", at positions 112 to 520 of the family's 3401-position model. Lineage: Eukaryota; Metazoa; Arthropoda; Malacostraca; Decapoda; Palaemonidae. The record is from RNAcentral.